Molecule: long non-coding RNA, 820 nt
Organism: Lycium barbarum (goji berry)
Lineage: Eukaryota; Viridiplantae; Streptophyta; Magnoliopsida; Solanales; Solanaceae
Exons: 2
Source: RefSeq, a predicted model, not a curated record
GUCUUUUUCCAGCCUUUAACCUCUCAAUUAAUCAUACCUCUUCCUCUUUUCCUUUUCCAACUAAAACUCCUCUCUCAUAACGUCUCUCCUUUUCUCUCUUCCUCCCAUACGACAAGAGAAGCCAUCACAACAAGUUUGAUGAAGAGUUUGGCGCGGGGAACGGACGUGAUGGCACCAACCAUGGUAGUUACAGAGUGUCCAACUUGAAUGCUAAGGGGGAGUUUGUAUUUUUUCCAAAAUAGCGAUAACAUCAGGCGUACGUCACCUUCCAAGGUUGAGUACCGUUCGAAGUCAAAGUAGUCGAGAUUUGUAGUUACAGCCUGUCCCAAAUCCUUGAACUAGGACUAUGGUUCGAUCCCCUGUUCUUAAAAUCUUCGCAUUGUGCUCUUUUUCAACUAUUCCCAUCACACUUUUCCUUUAACUUGUGGGAAUCAAGCAUUUAUGUUUUUGUUGCCUCUUAUGUUCUUUCUGCUGGUGAAGAAAGGGUGCAAGGGAAAGAAAAAGUGUGGACUUCUUUGUACCAUUUUUUGUUUGUUUGGGUCUCGAUCAUGAGAAUGAAAGCAAGGAUGACUAUAACCACAUUUUUUGGUGUUUCAUUGAUGUUUGUUGUAGGAUAUCUUUUCACUUUUUUUUUUUUUUUUUUUACAUUUGGGCAUUUGAUGGCUAUAUUUUAGAAAAGAAAAUUUUGAUAUGACACCUUUUUAUAUUUUUUUAGGAUUUUUACAUUUUCUACUGAAUUUCAAUUGAAUUUAUGUUAUAGAUCAAAAGCCACGUUGGACAAAAAAAAAAAAGUGUAAGAGUCCUUAUUAAAGAAAGAACC